This 556-nucleotide ribosomal RNA is filed under the name uncultured Glomus. RNAcentral describes it as "SSU rRNA". It matches the Rfam family "Eukaryotic small subunit ribosomal RNA", at positions 548 to 1098 of the family's 1831-position model. Lineage: Eukaryota; Fungi; Glomeromycota; Glomeromycetes; Glomerales; Glomeraceae. The record is from RNAcentral.
UUGGAGGGCAAGUCUGGUGCCAGCAGCCGCGGUAAUUCCAGCUCCAAUAGCGUAUAUUAAAGUUGUUGCAGUUAGAAAGCNCGUAGUUGAAUUUCGGGAUUGACGUGAUGGUCAUGCCUUAAGGGGUAUGAACUGUCACAGUUGAUUUCUCACCUUCUGGAGAAACUUGAUGUCCUUUAUUGGGUGUCUUGCGGAUCCAGGACCUUUACCUUGAAAAAAUUAGAGUGUUUAAAGCAGGCAUUUUUGCUCGAAUACAUUAGCAUGGAAUAAUAGAAUAGGACGGCAUGGUUCUAUUUUGUUGGUUUCUAGGAUCACCGUAAUGAUUAAUAGGGAUAGUUGGGGGCAUUAGUAUUCAAUUGUCAGAGGUGGAAUUCUUGGAUUUAUUGAAGACUAACUACUGCGAAAGCAUUUGCCAAGGAUGUUUUCAUUAAUCAAGAACGAAAGUUGGGGGAUCGAAGACGAUCAGAUACCGUCGUAGUCUUAACCAUAAACUAUGCCGACUAGGAAUCAGACGAUGUUAAUUUUUUAAUGACUCGUUUGGCACCUUACGGGAAAC